CCUACGGGCGGCAGCAGUGGGGAAUAUUGGGCAAUGGAGGCAACUCUGACCCAGCAACGCCGCGUGAAUGAUGAAGGUCUUCGGAUUGUAAAGUUCUGUGAUGGGGGAUGAACACAAUGACGGUACCCCAAUAGCAAGCCACGGCUAACUACGUGCCAGCAGCCGCGGUAAUACGUAGGUGGCAAGCGUUAUCCGGAAUGACUGGGCGUAAAGGGUGCGUAGGUGGUUUAGUAAGUUGGCGGUGUAAUUCCGGGGCUCAACCUCGGCGCUACCGCCAAAACUAUUAGACUAGAGUGCAGGGGGGGUAAGUGGAAUUCCUAGUGUAGCGGUGGAAUGCGUAGAUAUUAGGAGGAACAUCAGGGGCGAAAGCGACUUACUGGACUGUAACUGACACUGAGGCACGAAAGCGUGGGGAGCAAACAGGAUUAGAUACCCCAGUAGUC
RNAcentral lists this ribosomal RNA (443 nucleotides) under uncultured bacterium. RNAcentral's name for it is "partial 16S ribosomal RNA". It matches the Rfam family "Bacterial small subunit ribosomal RNA", at positions 338 to 795 of the family's 1533-position model. The record is from RNAcentral.